RNAcentral lists this small nuclear RNA (189 nucleotides) under Esox lucius (northern pike). RNAcentral's name for it is "U2 spliceosomal RNA". It matches the Rfam family "U2 spliceosomal RNA". Rfam says of the family: U2 is a small nuclear RNA (snRNA) component of the spliceosome (involved in pre-mRNA splicing). Complementary binding between U2 snRNA (in an area lying towards the 5' end but 3' to hairpin I) and the branchpoint sequence (BPS) of the intron results the bulging out of an unpaired adenosine, on the BPS, which initiates a nucleophilic attack at the intronic 5' splice site, thus starting the first of two transesterification reactions that mediate splicing. The record is from Rfam by way of RNAcentral. Lineage: Eukaryota; Metazoa; Chordata; Actinopteri; Esociformes; Esocidae.
AUCGCUUCUCGGCCUUUUGGCUAAGAUCAAGUGUAUUAUCUGUUUCUUAUCAGUUAAUAUCUGAUACGUCCCCCAUCGGGGACUAUACCUAUUAAUGGAUUUUUCGAACGGGAGUCGGAAGCGGGGCUUGCUCCGUCCGCUCCACGCAUCGCUCGGUAUUGCAGUCCCUCCCCGAACGGCACCCUCGUU